GACCAAGGUGCGACUCGAGCGCCAGCGAGAAAGCGUUGCCGCAGGCAACGACCCGAAGGGUGAAGCGCGCAGCGCUGAGUAAUCCUUCCCCCACCACCA
RNAcentral lists this small RNA (99 nucleotides) under Escherichia coli. RNAcentral describes it as "partial RtT sRNA". It matches the Rfam family "RtT RNA", at positions 34 to 130 of the family's 130-position model. From Rfam's summary of the family: This family represents a bacterial cis-regulatory element known as RtT RNA. The record is from RNAcentral. Lineage: Bacteria; Pseudomonadati; Pseudomonadota; Gammaproteobacteria; Enterobacterales; Enterobacteriaceae.